CACUUUCCUGUCACUCUACUGGGAGACACGCUCACUUCCUGAAGCUUCCUCCACCUCCUCCACAUAAUUACCAAUCAACCUCACCAGUGUGUGUCUCUCUUUGUGCUGACUGCUUACGUUUGCUGCGUCUAUGACUUUAUACCAGCAUUAUGCAUCGAUUGUAAAACCAACAUUGAGAAAGCAAACAACAAGGAAAGAAGCAAAUGGCAAUAAAGAUCAAAAUUGAGAAUCGAAACGACCCAGGUCAGCCAGAGACACGCCCACUAUGACCAACAAGGACUCCCCAUGGCGACCACGGACUUCCACGUGCCCAUCUUUUUCUUUUUUGUUUGUUUGUUUGCUCUACACACAGAGAGAGAGAGAGAGGAGGGGGGGGGGGGGGGAUACAAAAGCUAUUGAUUAGUGUUGAUA
Alosa sapidissima (American shad) is the source of this 411-nucleotide long non-coding RNA. RefSeq lists it as uncharacterized. Lineage: Eukaryota; Metazoa; Chordata; Actinopteri; Clupeiformes; Clupeidae. The transcript has 3 exons. The record is from RefSeq and is a predicted model, not a curated record.